UCAGGAGAGCAGUCACUCGGCUGAGCAAACCAGGAACCUCAUCGCCAACACUGAAGACCAUAAUCUCUGAGAUCUGUGUGUUUUAGCUGGUUUUACUACAUUUGAUCAUGUUAUGGAUGCUUUUUCCUGGACCUGGAUGUGUGUUUGUGACAAAGUAACAACAUUGAGUGAUCAUCAACAACUCACCUAAUCCCAUGUUGUCGAGGACUGAUAGUGGCUGAUUGUCAAGAACAGCAUACUGGGAGCUCUUCUUUUCCUCACUUCAGAGACGAACCCAGACGAACACAUUGCGAUUCUGAGAGAGCGUGACUCGGCUUUGAAGGUUAAAUGUCUAGAGCGAGUCGCUUCCUUCACACUUCUCCUCUGAUCUCUGCUCCUAGCUUUACAAGGUAACAAUCAAUCAGCGUAAAAAAAAAAUGCUGGAUUAAAGAGUCGAGUCAAGAGUCAGACUGAGGAACGCGGCAGUGUUCUGCUGCUUUACAUCUACACACACAACAUCCUGAUAGAAACGUGCGGCUGCCUGGGAAAACCCUUGACGAGGUGCAGUUUUGACAUUUUCUGAUGUAUACAGCUCUGAAUACGACAUGUACGCAUGGAUUUAGUUUUCAUUAAAUAUGAAAUACGAUCUAAAAAUGAUAAACAUGGCCAUGAAAACUGUCUGUCUUUGUAACAGCCUUUAUGCACCGCCUACAAACUGGCUCCGCCUUAAAUGUAUAUAUAUUAUUAGAUUAUUUUAUUAUAAACUAGAUAGAUUUAAACAUCAAUAACUCUGUUCCCAUCUCCAUAUUAACUU
Long non-coding RNA from Pangasianodon hypophthalmus (striped catfish), 793 nucleotides. RefSeq lists it as uncharacterized. The transcript has 3 exons. NCBI's taxonomy places the organism in Eukaryota, Metazoa, Chordata, Actinopteri, Siluriformes, Pangasiidae. The record is from RefSeq and is a predicted model, not a curated record.